Molecule: long non-coding RNA, 469 nt
Organism: Anguilla anguilla (European eel)
Lineage: Eukaryota; Metazoa; Chordata; Actinopteri; Anguilliformes; Anguillidae
Exons: 3
Source: RefSeq, a predicted model, not a curated record
AGUUCGGGACGUUCAGAUUGUUGUUAAUUUAUCUUAGUGGUGACUCGUAUACAACGCUGUUCCUAGAGAUCUAGCUACCAAUACACAAUUGUAUCCACAGUAGCCUAACACGUGUUUGAAGUUUCAGAAAUUAGCGGGUGGUUGCUGCUGGUAACAAACACGAGUAAAAUACGCGGAUAUGCUGGUGCAUUUAACCAAUUCGGUCCAUCACAGAAAGAAAGAGGAUGUUUUCGUAGUUUUUAAUGAGCAAAUUAUACUCCUCGCGUAUCUACAAGAAAUGCCAGGUGGCACUGCAUGGCUGUGAAUGUCAGCGGUGUUCUUGUGUGCAGACAUUGCUGCCUGAAAGUUUCCAUGUGGCUGUGCCCGUGACCGUGCCCGUCACGUUGCCCAUGGCAACGCCUGGGACGAUGGCCAUGACCGGAUACGUAAACCGCGCCCAUGGCAAUCCUAUGGAACCCUGUCUACACUC